This 492-nucleotide ribosomal RNA is filed under the name uncultured bacterium. Its description in RNAcentral is "partial 16S ribosomal RNA". It matches the Rfam family "Bacterial small subunit ribosomal RNA", at positions 29 to 507 of the family's 1533-position model. The record is from RNAcentral.
AGUGAACGCUGGCGGUAGGCCUAACACAUGCAAGUCGAACGGCAGCACAGUAAGAGCUUGCUCUUACGGGUGGCGAGUGGCGGACGGGUGAGGAAUACAUCGUAAUCUACUUUUUCGUGGGGGAUAACGUAGGGAAACUUACGCUAGUACAGCAUACGACCUACGGGUGAGAGCAUUGGAUCUUCGGACCUUGCGCGAUUGAAUGAGCCGAUGUCGUGCUAGUUAGUUGGCGGGGUAAAGACCAACCAAGGGGACGAUCCGUAGCUGGACUGGGAGGCUGAUCAGCCACACGGGAAGUGGGACACGCUCCAGACUCCUGCGGGACGCAGCAGUGUGGAAUAUUGGACAAUAGGCGCAAACCUGAUACAGCCAUCCCGAGUGGGUGAAGAAGGCCUUGGGUUUGUAAAGCCCUUCUGUUGGGAAAGAAACGCAGCAGGUUAAUACCCCGCUGUUCUGACGGUACCCAAAGAAUAAGCACCGGCUAACUUCGUG